UGGGCCUAUAGCUCAGCUUGGUUAGAGCGCUUCCCUGAUAAGGAAGAGGUCUGUGGUUCAAGUCCACAUAGGCCCACCC
This 79-nucleotide transfer RNA is filed under the name freshwater metagenome. RNAcentral describes it as "tRNA-Ile". It matches the Rfam family "tRNA". Rfam says of the family: Transfer RNA (tRNA) molecules are approximately 80 nucleotides in length. Their secondary structure includes four short double-helical elements and three loops (D, anti-codon, and T loops). Further hydrogen bonds mediate the characteristic L-shaped molecular structure. tRNAs have two regions of fundamental functional importance: the anti-codon, which is responsible for specific mRNA codon recognition, and the 3' end, to which the tRNAs corresponding amino acid is attached (by aminoacyl-tRNA synthetases). tRNAs cope with the degeneracy of the genetic code in two manners: having more than one tRNA (with a specific anti-codon) for a particular amino acid; and 'wobble' base-pairing, i.e. permitting non-standard base-pairing at the 3rd anti-codon position. The record is from RNAcentral.